RNAcentral lists this long non-coding RNA (218 nucleotides) under Elaeis guineensis (African oil palm). RNAcentral describes it as "long non-coding RNA (EGUI_LNC033053)". Lineage: Eukaryota; Viridiplantae; Streptophyta; Magnoliopsida; Arecales; Arecaceae. The record is from RNAcentral.
CAACUAUAGAAAAUGAAGGCACAGAAAUUUUAAUUGCAUCCCACAGAGCGCAGAAACUAGAAAGAUCUUUGUGCCGGCAAAGCACAGAUCAAUCAAAUUUCAAACAUAACAUUACAAAUUGAGUCAUUUCAAGCUACCCUUCUCUCUCUUGUUGGCAAGGAGCUAGGAUCGAUGGUCCUCCUAAGUUACUUCAUCUCUUAAAAAUGGAAGGAGAAAAA